UACGUAGGGGGCAAGCGUUAUCCGAAUUUACUGGGUGUAAAGGGAGCGUAGACGGAUGGACAAGUCUGAUGUGAAAGGCUGGGGCUCAACCCCGGGACUGCAUUGGAAACUGCCCGUCUUGAGUGCCGGAGAGGUAAGCGGAAUUCCUAGUGUAGCGGUGAAAUGCGUAGAUAUUAGGAGGAACACCAGUGGCGAAGGCGGCUUACUGGACGGUAACUGACGUUGAGGCUCGAAAGCGUGGGGAGCAAACAGG
Molecule: ribosomal RNA, 253 nt
Filed under: Blautia luti
Lineage: Bacteria; Bacillati; Bacillota; Clostridia; Lachnospirales; Lachnospiraceae
Description: partial 16S ribosomal RNA
Rfam family: Bacterial small subunit ribosomal RNA
Source: RNAcentral